This 226-nucleotide long non-coding RNA is filed under the name Lathyrus oleraceus (garden pea). Its description in RNAcentral is "Pisum sativum (pea) long non-coding RNA (PSAT_LNC019549)". The record is from RNAcentral. Lineage: Eukaryota; Viridiplantae; Streptophyta; Magnoliopsida; Fabales; Fabaceae.
GUCGGUUUUCAACUUAACUGAACCUUCAAACACCAACUCAUCUUCUUCCUCCCUUCCAUUUUACACCAUAACCACCAUUGUUGAAACCUUCCUACAACCUCCUUCCAUAACCCAAAACCAUGCAUAAUCACCAUGUAAUCAUAUCAACAUCCUACCACCGUGAAAACCUCUACCAAACAACACCCUCAUCAUUUACAACCAACUUAAACUUCCGUCUCUCUUCCAC